RNAcentral lists this transfer RNA (72 nucleotides) under Camelus bactrianus (Bactrian camel). It matches the Rfam family "tRNA". Rfam says of the family: Transfer RNA (tRNA) molecules are approximately 80 nucleotides in length. Their secondary structure includes four short double-helical elements and three loops (D, anti-codon, and T loops). Lineage: Eukaryota; Metazoa; Chordata; Mammalia; Artiodactyla; Camelidae. RNAcentral also lists the same sequence under 2 other names. The record is from Rfam by way of RNAcentral.
GAGGGUACAUCUCAGUGGUAGAGCGCAUGCUUAGCAUGCAUGAGGUCAUGGGUUCAAUCCCCUGUACCUCCA